UACGUAGGGGGCAAGCGUUGUCCGGAAUCAUUGGGCGUAAAGAGCGUGUAGGCGGCCAGAAAAGUCCGCUGUGAAAACUCGAGGCUCAACUUCGAGCUGUCGGUGGAAACUUUCUGGCUAGAGUCCGGAAGAGGAGAAUGGAAUUCCUGGUGUAGCGGUGAAAUGCUCAGAUAUCAGGAAGAACACCCGUGGCGAAGGCGGUUCUCUGGGACGGUACUGACGCUGAGACGCGAAAGCGUGGGGAGCGAACAGG
This 253-nucleotide ribosomal RNA is filed under the name uncultured bacterium. Its description in RNAcentral is "partial 16S ribosomal RNA". It matches the Rfam family "Bacterial small subunit ribosomal RNA", at positions 524 to 776 of the family's 1533-position model. The record is from RNAcentral.